GGGCUCAGUUUGGAAGUGCACAUAACAAAAAUUUGGACUAAUACAGAGAAGAUUAAUAUGGCCUCUACACAAGGGUAACAUGCAAAUUCAUGAAGUGUUCCCUAAAUUU
Molecule: small nuclear RNA, 109 nt
Organism: Prolemur simus (greater bamboo lemur)
Lineage: Eukaryota; Metazoa; Chordata; Mammalia; Primates; Lemuridae
Source: Ensembl